This is a long non-coding RNA of Peromyscus maniculatus bairdii (prairie deer mouse), 191 nucleotides long. RefSeq lists it as uncharacterized. The record is from RefSeq and is a predicted model, not a curated record. Lineage: Eukaryota; Metazoa; Chordata; Mammalia; Rodentia; Cricetidae.
AGAGAGUUCACUCUUUCUCGAAGAUCUUCUGAUACAGUGGGAAGAAAAGACUGUGUGAUGUGGUGCUAAAUCCAGGAGUAAUUGCCUUUUACUAAAAAAUAAAAUCAAAAUUGAUAAUCUGAGGAGGUGUUUCUGACAGCUCUCCUUCUACCGACACUUCACUUUGCUUCAUGAUGCAAUAAAAAUGUAAG